This 560-nucleotide non-coding RNA is filed under the name Natronobacterium lacisalsi AJ5. Its description in RNAcentral is "Halobiforma lacisalsi AJ5 Archaeal large subunit ribosomal RNA". It matches the Rfam family "Archaeal large subunit ribosomal RNA", at positions 1 to 583 of the family's 2987-position model. Lineage: Archaea; Methanobacteriati; Methanobacteriota; Halobacteria; Halobacteriales; Natrialbaceae. The record is from Rfam by way of RNAcentral.
GAACGUGGCUACUGUGCCAGCUGGUGGAUCGCUCGGCUUGAGAGCUGAAGAAGGACGUGCCAAGCUGCGAAAAGCCUGUGGGACCCGCACGGAGGGGAAGAACACAGGAUUUCCGAAUGGGAAUCCCCACCGCAAUUGCUUCGCGCAAUGGGGAACGCCGAGAACUGAAACAUCUCAGUAUCGGCAGGAAAAGAAAACGUAACGUGAUGUCGUUAGUAAGGGCGACUGAACGCGAUCCAGUCCAAACCGAAGCCUUCGGGCAAUGUGGUGUUCGGACUGACGAUCACUCCGCGACCGUCUGCAGGAAGUCUCUUGGAACAGAGCACGACACAGGGUGACAGUCCCGUAUUGCAGACCAGUAUCGGACGAGUCAGCUCCAGAGUAGCGGGGAUUGGAAAUUCCUCGUGAAUCUCCCAGGCAUCGACUGGGAAGACUAAACACUCCUCAAGACCGAUAGCGAACAAGUAGCGUGAGCGAACGCUGAAAAGCACCCCACGAAGGGAGGUGCAAUAGGGCGUGAAAUCAGUUGGCGAUAGAGCGACGGGGCACACAAGGUCCCG